UACGUAGGUGGCAAGCGUUGUCCGGAUUUACUGGGCGUAAAGAGCGCGCAGGCGGUCGUUCAAGUCGCGUGUGAAAGCCCCCGGCUCAACUGGGGAGGGUCACGCGAUACUGAUCGACUCGAAGGCAGGAGAGGGUAGUGGAAUUCCCGGUGUAGUGGUGAAAUGCGUAGAUAUCGGGAGGAACACCGGUGGCGAAGGCGGCACUCUGGGCCGGCACUGACGCUGAGGCGCGAAAGCGUGGGGAGCAAACAGG
RNAcentral lists this ribosomal RNA (253 nucleotides) under uncultured bacterium. RNAcentral describes it as "partial 16S ribosomal RNA". It matches the Rfam family "Bacterial small subunit ribosomal RNA", at positions 524 to 776 of the family's 1533-position model. The record is from RNAcentral.